CCAAUAGCGUAUAUUAAAGUUGUUGCAGUUAAAAAGCUCGUAGUUGAAUUUCGGGGUUCUUCCGUUGGUCAGGCUAACAAGUCUGUACUAGCGUGUAGAAUCUCUACCUUCUGGGGAACCAUCAUGUUAUUAAUUUAGCGUGGUGGGAAACCAGGACCUUUACCUUGAAAAAAUUAGAGUGUUCAAAGCAGGCUUACGUCUGAAUACAUUAGCAUGGAAUAAUAAAAUAGGACGGUGGUCCUGUUUUGUUGGUUUCUGAAUCACCGUAAUGAUUAAUAGGGAUAGUUGGGGGCAUUAGUAUUCAAUUGUCAGAGGUGAAAUUCUUGGAUUUAUUGAAGACUAACUUCUGCGAAAGCAUUUGCCAAGGAUGUUUUCAUUAAUCAAGAACGAAAGUUAGGGGAUCGAAGACGAUCAGAUACCGUCGUAGUCUUAACCAUAAACUAUGCCGACUAGGGAUCGGACGAUGUUAAAUUUUAUUGACUCGUUCGACGCCUUACG
This 498-nucleotide unclassified non-coding RNA is filed under the name uncultured Scutellospora. RNAcentral's name for it is "SSU rRNA". It matches the Rfam family "Eukaryotic small subunit ribosomal RNA", at positions 591 to 1092 of the family's 1831-position model. Lineage: Eukaryota; Fungi; Glomeromycota; Glomeromycetes; Diversisporales; Gigasporaceae. The record is from RNAcentral.